This 1455-nucleotide ribosomal RNA is filed under the name Triticum aestivum (bread wheat). RNAcentral describes it as "partial small subunit ribosomal RNA". The record is from RNAcentral. Lineage: Eukaryota; Viridiplantae; Streptophyta; Magnoliopsida; Poales; Poaceae.
AUGACUCGACACAUGCAACCAGAACAAAAUUAUGUUGCGGGAGAUAAACUAGUUAUGAAGAAUUUCAUGAUUACACCUGGAUUUAGCACUUCUCAAAUGGAGCAGAGGUCCUCUGAUCAAAUUGUUCUUGAUGUAAAUGAUGAUAACAUAGAUAAUGGGCAAUGCCACCAUUUCUCCAUAAGUGGGUAUGUUCGUGAGAUGCAGAUGAAUGACUCAAAUUUCCGUUCACUAUUUGAUGACCACAUCAAUUCAUUGCUAGUUACUACAAAAACAUUUCGACGAUGGUAUUGCGAAAGCUGCAGGCAUAAAUUGGAACCAUUACAUAAUAAUACCAGCACACCAGCUAGAAUGUUGAAUGAAUUUGCACGAGGACUAAAACAUGACGUCCGCAAGGAAUUAUCGCAAGAGACGGGUUCGGAGGAAUGUCGUUCACCUUCCUACAAUAUAGAAUCCAUGAAAGUAGAUCGAGUUGUAAAUGAUUCAUAUGAGUCAACACCGAUUAAUCGGAGGAACGGUGCUGCAAAAUGUCAUUCACCAGUGUUGAAAACCUACAAGAGAAGGAAGAACACCAAAGUGCACGAAGUUAUAAAUAAUAGUUCUUUUGUGGAAUAUCAAGAUACCUCUGGCAUGGCUUCAACUUUUGCCCAUGCAUUACCGUCUUCGAGCAGUUAUAACUCGGAAAAGGCAGCACAAAUAAGUAUUGAACCUCGGAACCAGAGUGCAUUAAAUCUGAUCCAGGUAAAUGGUUUCCGAUCCAUAUUAGAAACAAAGGCAGGAAAUAUGUUCGAUCCAAGAAUGUCAGGACCUUUGACGGGUUACUAUACAAGUGACCAUAUGCAGGGAAGACAUCUUCAUGGAUCAGUAGACUUGUGGAAGCACACAUGCUUCACACAAUGUGAAGUGUCUACAGGGAACAUGCCAAGCCGUUGUCUACUUCCUAAUUCAUACCAUCUGCAUGAUCAGUAUGAUGUAGAAAAUUUCAUAUGGUACAGAGACAGCAACAUCAUCAAUGAAAGUUGUGCACCGAUCAUGGAUAUUUCUGCAAAGUAUCAACAUCCACAUUGUCCGAGUAAACCAUUUCGCCCUGUUCCUAGGAUUGGUGUGCUCAGUCCCAUGUUGCAGAAAGAAGUCACAACAUAUUCGGAGAGCUGUGGAACACAGUCUGGCUACCGACUAGGCAUGUCUGAGGAGGAAAUGCCUUGCCAGAUGUACAGAGGGGAAAACUCGGCAUCAAGCUCACAAAAAUUCCAGGCAAUGUACAGCCCCCAACAUUUGGGUUAUGUCAACUCUGUUGGAAUACCAGAACUUCUGCCAGAGAGGGAGAAUUCACAUUCAAGCAAAGGCAAAAGCAAAAUGGUAUAUUCUUCGGAUAAGUCUGCACAACAGGAUAUAUGUGCUCAGGCUCUGUCUCUCUCUGGUGUGGCCACAAAUGCUGCAACUCGUGGAAGGAGUUGA